RNAcentral lists this ribosomal RNA (440 nucleotides) under uncultured bacterium. RNAcentral describes it as "partial 16S ribosomal RNA". It matches the Rfam family "Bacterial small subunit ribosomal RNA", at positions 338 to 795 of the family's 1533-position model. The record is from RNAcentral.
CCUACGGGUGGCAGCAGUGGGGAAUAUUCCACAAUGGGGGAAACCCUGAUGCAGCGACGCCGCGUGAGUGAAGAAGUAUUUCGGUAUGUAAAGCUCUAUCAUCAGGGAAGAGCAUGACGUUAACUGAGUAAGAGGCCCCGGCUAACUACUUGCCAGCAGCCGCGGUAAUACGUAGGGGGCAAGCGUUAGCCGGAUUUACUGGGUGUAAAGGGAGCGUAGACGGCUCGGAAAGUCUGAAGUGAAAGCCCGCGGCUCAACCGCGGAACGGCUUUGGAAACUUUUUUGCUGGAGUGCAGGAGAGGAGAGCGGAAUUCCUAGUGUAGCGGUGAAAUGCGUAGAUAUUAGGAGGAACACCAGUGGCGAAGGCGACUUACUGGACGGUAACUGACGUUGAGGCUCGAAAGCGUGGGGAGCAAACAGGAUUAGAUACCCUUGUAGUC